RNAcentral lists this ribosomal RNA (335 nucleotides) under Bellamya rubicunda. RNAcentral's name for it is "partial 16S ribosomal RNA". Lineage: Eukaryota; Metazoa; Mollusca; Gastropoda; Architaenioglossa; Viviparidae. The record is from RNAcentral.
ACGGCCCCGGUAUCUUGACCGNGCAAAGGNAGCAUAAUCAAUUGUUUUAUAAUUGAAGACUGGAAUGAAUGGUUGAAUGAAAUAUUAGCUGUCUUAUUUGUAUUUAUUAGAAUUUAGCUUUUAGAUGAAGAGAUUUAGAUGUAAUUGAUAGACAAGAAGACCCUGUUGAGCUUUAAAUAAUUUUAGAGAUGUAUUUUAUUAUAUUAAAUAAAUAAAUUUUAGAUUUUUUUUGGUUGGGGCGACUGAGGAAUAAUAAAAGCUUCCUUUAGCUUAGAUAGAUUGUUCGAUUUUGAUCCAAUAUUAUUGAUUAAAAAAAAUAGUUACCNCAGGGAUAA